RNAcentral lists this long non-coding RNA (1090 nucleotides) under Canis lupus familiaris (dog). Its description in RNAcentral is "lncRNA (ENSCAFG00040007314.1)". The record is from RNAcentral. Lineage: Eukaryota; Metazoa; Chordata; Mammalia; Carnivora; Canidae.
GUCCCGGGGCGCGGGGUCGGGGUCCGGGGGUGCAGCUGUGGCUCGGGGUCGGGGGCGCUGCUGGGCGCGGGGGCGCGGCUGGGCUCAGGUCCCGGGGCGCGGGGGGCGCGGCUGAGCCUUGGGGGUCCGAGGGGCGGGGUCCGGGGUCCGGGGGCGCGGCUGGGCUCGGGGUCGGGCCCCGCGGGCCUUGUCCCCUCCCUGCGGGCGGACCCGCUGCGGCUCAGACUCUCCGCGCGACGAGAUACCCUGGGAUGGGGGGAGAAGCUAGGAACCAAGAAGCAGGAGAGAUGUCUGUCCUAGUCCUCCAGGAUCUACCAAACUACCAAACUCUACUUCAGAUGAACACCAGCCAGGUAGACAGUAGGUGAGACAUAGAUUGUGUAUGCAUGUGUCUGUUGAGUUUUGCUCUCCGUAGACACAGUGUGGAAGUGCUGAACUCUCUAGCACAGACACACAUAUUAGCAAACGAGACUCCUCUUCAGUCAUGGUUCUUAUAAUGCUUAUGUGCAACAUAUUUUUUUAGACGUGGUUAUUGGUUAUACCCAAGAAUGUACUCUUUUUUUUUUUAUUGUGGAAAUAGAUUCUUGAUUGAGAAUUAUGGGCCCUCUCUUGUGUCUGAUGUGUUGAUUUUUCAAGCUGCCGUGCAGGAUAGGUGAGUUGCACAAUAUAAUGAUGCAGGCCUAUGUUGUAAGUGGACGAGAACAAGUUUAAAUGUGUGUUGAAGUGGUUUUAGAGCAAAUUUCACAACACUAAUUGUCCUUCAAAGUAAUCUCUCUCAGGAGUAAAUCUAACAAAAGAAUUGAAUGUCAUCCAGCUAUUAUAUAAAACAAAUGUAAACUUGAUCAUAACAUAUGACUGUGACAUAGAAGAACACUACAUGAUAUAAGCUUAGCAUUUUUUGAUAAUUGGAUAUAUAAGUUAGACUGUGUUAUGUAAAUUGAUAAUAUUUACUGUAUCAUUUUUUAUGAAUAUGAAAAAUUUGGCAGAAAAAAUACAUAAUAAUCCUGCAGUAUCUACUCAAUCUAAUAAAUAAAUGUAAGUACAGAUUUUUAGACAUAUAUUAUCCUUAAGUAAGAUACAAAGGAAACAC